Molecule: long non-coding RNA, 898 nt
Organism: Ailuropoda melanoleuca (giant panda)
Lineage: Eukaryota; Metazoa; Chordata; Mammalia; Carnivora; Ursidae
Exons: 4
Source: RefSeq, a predicted model, not a curated record
GAUGUAUCUCCAGGGGUUUAACCCAAAUCUUUCCUAUGACUUAGGCCUGCCGGCUCUUUAUCUGGCUUGGGUUGUGGUGGAAACAGCUGGUCACCAGCCAGACGACAAUCCUUCAUCCUUCAUCGUCUUGAAGAUGGUGAUUAAAUCAGUCAUCAUCUCCUCUUCGCCAGGAUGUUGUGAAGAUUCUGUCAGCACUGUGCCCAGAGCUCCCUGGAGAUAAACGGACUACAAUUAGAGUCAGCGGUGACCAAGAAAGUAUGCAGAUGGAGCAAUCAGAAGGAGCUCAGAGGAGGCCUGGAAAAAGGUUCAUUGAGCUGGCCCUGAAAGUUAGACUGACAAAAGACAUUAACAAGAGGAAAUCAAACAGAUGUCUGUUAACAAGCGCAUAGUACGUAUACACAGGAGCACCCAGAGAUCCGUUCUCCACUGUCCACUCUGCUCCCUGUGGAGGCUGACUUGAGUGAACUAUGCCAGUGGACUCCUGUGGCUUAUGGUCAAUCCAGCAACAGAUCAAACAGGAGGGAGGAAAAGGAGCGGUUUGGGGACUUUAACUGAAGCACCAGUACAGCUAAGUAGGAGAAAGCAGGAUCCGAGGACACCUGGACUUACAACAAUGGGAUGAUUCUAACAAGGCGAUGUUUAAUACAAAGUCCAGGUGAAGAUGUGGCGACUACAACAUUAUGUGAAGUUUUCAUUAUUGUCAACGCACUGUGAAUCAAAAGGUGACAAAAUGCACACCCCCCAAAUAAAAUUCUAACUUUCUAAAGCCCCAGAUGAAGGGAUGUUUGCAUUCUCUUCCUUUGUGGGCCGACCACUCUUAGAGUACUGUGUUCAGCUUUAGAUGAUACAUGAAAAACCUGCUGCAGAUUUUAAUGCAUCUGUUGUAAUUUCAGCCCAU